GGCAAAUCUAGAAGCGCCGAGCCUGUUGAUUCCACUCAACACGACGCAAAAAAUAACAAUUUAAAUGAAAAAUCGUCUCUGCCAGCGGUAUGUGGAGAAUGCGGAAACGGUGUAUCUGUUUCCAUAGAAGUGCAGCGUGAGCGCGGAAGCACUUUCCCACAAGGAUCCCAGUGUCUCUCUAAACACCGUGUGCUGAGUUAAAGAGCAAAGUGCCAACUGACUAUGAUUUCCUGGAAGACAAGUAUCAGGGAAGGGACACAAGAGAACGUUCCGCUGGAGCAACACAAGGUCUUCGAGUUCAUUUAGAUAAACCAACCACAAACUUUACUUGGAAACAUGAUCUGGUCUUCGAUGGAGAUUAAUGUAACGCAGCAGGAGCAUUCUGAGCACCUGCAAGUGCAUAAGGGGGGGAUGAUCUAUCAUUGUCUUCAUAGUAUCAAUACCAGUAACUACUGCAGAGUUGGAAAAGACCAGUCUGAUGAGUUCACACUGACACAGAUGCAUUGCAAACACAGUUGCAUUUAUACAAGUGAGAAGCAAAUGCUUUUGGAUCAACAAUACGAGACUUACUGUGUGUGUCUUCAUGACAUGUUUAUUUAUUGUAAACAACAACUGACAAACAAAUAACUGAUCAAAAUGGUUUCCUUAAAUGCACUGUAUGUCAUGCUGGAUAAAAGUGUUUGCAAAGUGCAAAUUAAAUACGUACAGUAUAG
This 713-nucleotide long non-coding RNA is filed under the name Danio rerio (zebrafish). RNAcentral's name for it is "lncRNA si:ch73-204m7.4 (ENSDARG00000103967.2)". Lineage: Eukaryota; Metazoa; Chordata; Actinopteri; Cypriniformes; Danionidae. The record is from RNAcentral.